RNAcentral lists this ribosomal RNA (396 nucleotides) under Triticum aestivum (bread wheat). RNAcentral describes it as "partial small subunit ribosomal RNA". The record is from RNAcentral. Lineage: Eukaryota; Viridiplantae; Streptophyta; Magnoliopsida; Poales; Poaceae.
AUGUCGUGCUCUGGUGCCGCGGGAGCAGCACUGGGCGCCGCGCCUGCUCCCUGCGGCACACCAUUAGCGGACGGAGGGAGGAGCUCCCGGCCCCAGCGCUGUUGCGGCGCUUGCGAGGCAGCUCGCCGUCGCGGCCGCCAAGCCCCCCCUCGGCCACCCCUCGCGCCACACGCACACGACACCGGGGCUCUAUUCCGGUGGCUAUGCUCGCCUCAAAAUUAUGCUGGAGGGAAGGCGAUUUGUCGGCGGAGAAGUGGAAAUACGGCGAAGGAUAAGAGCAUCUCUAGCAGGCACCUUAAAACGUGGACCUGUAAACUGAGUUUACAGUUCGCAGAAUGCGUCGGAUAUGGGCCGAAAACAGCAGCGGCAGAACAAAAACGUCAAAUGAACCUAUAA